Molecule: long non-coding RNA, 1553 nt
Organism: Equus caballus (horse)
Lineage: Eukaryota; Metazoa; Chordata; Mammalia; Perissodactyla; Equidae
Source: Ensembl
AGCAACAAUGGAUCUUUACCUGUGCAUUGGGAGUGACAAGGCUUGUUUCCUUCCCUGAGAAGUUGAAGAUGUUCAUUAUGUGAGAUGAGACAGCCAGAACCAAGUUUACUCUGGGAAGCCUCUACUCCAGACAAAGGAUGUAGUUUCGCCUAAUAAUACUGUUCUUGGAAAGAGGACUAGUUCUUUUUAUGGAACCUGAGCUUCUAUGGCUGACUUUGUCCCUUCAAGUGCGUGGCUGACUCUGGCUGAAAUAAGAGACUUCAGUCCAUAUUCAUCAUCGAGCAACUGCUCUUCUGAAACACUUCCUGAGAAUCAAUGUCCCCUGGAAACACAUGACUUCCUGUUGGUCAGGUUUGAUUUUGCAGGUUUCAGCCAUCACUCCCACAAGAAACCAAGAAGCACUCCCUCCAAACUUCACAGCCUGCAGUGUCUUUUGCCAUUAGAACGGGGAUUAACGUGGCUAUUCUGGAGUUUGCCAGUCCCAAAGGCGCCUACAGCACAACUCACAAGAAGAAAUAACUGCCCCAAACUAGAGGAAGAAAGUGUUAAAGGGAAACCCAUCUGCCUAACUCCGAACAGAGCUUCUCUUCCCAAACCAGCAGGAUGCGGCGGAAGUGACGACAUCUACCUAUGCCCCGGGACCUCAAGAGGCCACCCAACUUACGUUCUCGUGCUCCUGGGAGCCAGCCACCAAGUUGGAAGCUUGGGCUGGACUCCAGGGUGGUGAGAGAUCGCGGGGUAGGAGGGAGGCCUCAUGGAUGAGAGCUGAGCCACCCUGCAGCCACCACGUGAGUCCUGCAGCCCAGGGUCACAGGCUGUGGCUUUUAACCCCGAGUUCCGGUGGUUUGUCGCAAGGCAAUAGAUCAUUAAAGCAACAGUGACAGUAACCUGUUGAUGUGGAGUCAAAAGAGGUUGCCAUUCAUUCUCCCGGCGUCGUCAGCGGCCGUGGUGUCUGUUGUGAUAAACGCCUUGUGAGAGAUACUAUCACCAAGCUUCCAGCCCCGGAAGCUGGUUCACCUGAGCAACAGCCGACACUCAGGGGCUGCUUAGUCCAUGCCAGGUGCUGUCCUUAGUCCUUUACACCCAUGAACUCAUUCAGGCCUCACAACAACCUCCUGAGCCAGAUGUGCUGUUAUUAUCACCUCCAUUUUACCACUGGGAAAACUGAGGCUCGGAGAGGUUAAGGAACCUGUCUGCAGUCACACAGCUAGUAAGCGGCAUAUCGAGGAGUCAUCUGCAGGCCCGGCAGCACCAGGCUGGGCUUUUAGCCUCCAUGUGGCUCUCUGCCUAAGGCCAGAGUUCAGGAAGGAGCCCCGGCUGUGUCACUUAAAACGGUUAUAGUUCCGUUGGGGGAGGAUUCAGCUGAUGAAGACACAUUUGAGAACCCCCAGUGUAGACAGUCGCCAAAGGUCUGGGAUUCUGCAAUUUGAUUGGCUGCCCCUCCAGCACCAUGGCCUGUGCUCACCUGGCUGCUGGGCACGUGGCCUCCCUUCUCCAACCCGCUUCUCCCCAUCCAGUGUCCCUCUGGCCAUUUCUAAAAGCUGUGGGCCCCC